GGUCUGGUGGUCUAGUGGUAUGAUUCUCGCUUAGGGUACACCCUAUGCUCAAUAUGCGAGAGGUCCCGGGUUCAAUCCCCGGCCAGACCC
Molecule: non-coding RNA, 90 nt
Organism: Xylaria acuta
Lineage: Eukaryota; Fungi; Ascomycota; Sordariomycetes; Xylariales; Xylariaceae
Source: the annotation of a GenBank genome assembly